AUGACAACAAUGGAUAAUACUCCUCAGGGCGAGCUGGUUUUACGUACAUUGGCCAUGCCUGCCGAUACCAAUACGAACGGCGAUAUUUUUGGCGGCUGGCUGAUGUCGCAAAUGGAUAUUGGCGGCGUGUGGUUAAUAACCGCAGCAAUUGACGUUACCCGCAGAAGAAGCACCGGCUAACUCCGUGCCAGCAGCCGCGGUAAUACGGAGGGUGCAAGCGUUAAUCGGAAUUACUGGGCGUAAAGCGCACGCAG
RNAcentral lists this ribosomal RNA (254 nucleotides) under Salmonella enterica subsp. enterica serovar Anatum. RNAcentral's name for it is "partial 16S ribosomal RNA". It matches the Rfam family "Bacterial small subunit ribosomal RNA", at positions 345 to 574 of the family's 1533-position model. The record is from RNAcentral. Lineage: Bacteria; Pseudomonadati; Pseudomonadota; Gammaproteobacteria; Enterobacterales; Enterobacteriaceae.